Molecule: ribosomal RNA, 468 nt
Filed under: uncultured bacterium
Lineage: Bacteria
Description: partial 16S ribosomal RNA
Rfam family: Bacterial small subunit ribosomal RNA
Source: RNAcentral
GACGAACGCUGGCGGCGUGCUUAACACAUGCAAGUCGAACGGCAAGGCCCUGCUUUUUUGGGGUGCUCGAGUGGCGAACGGGUGAGUAACACGUGAGUAACCUGCCCUUGACUUUGGGGUAACUUCAGGAAACUGGGGCUACUACCGGAUCGGAGAUCCUGCUGCAUGGUGGGCGUUGGAAAGUUUCGGCGGUUGGGGAUGGACUCGCGGCUGAUCAGCUUGUUGGUGGGGUAGUGGCUUACCAAGGGUUUGACGGGUAGCCGGCAUGAGAGGGUGACCGGCCACAUUGGGACUGAGAGACGGCCCAGAGUCCUACGGGAGGCAGCAGUGGGGAAUAUUGCACAAUGGGAGGAAGCCUGAUGCAGCAACGCCGCGUGCGGGAUGCCGGCCUGCGGGGUGUAAACCGCUUUCGCCUGUGACGAAGCGUGAGUGACGGUAAUGGGUAAAGAAGCACCGGCUAACUACGUG